RNAcentral lists this ribosomal RNA (492 nucleotides) under uncultured bacterium. RNAcentral describes it as "partial 16S ribosomal RNA". It matches the Rfam family "Bacterial small subunit ribosomal RNA", at positions 29 to 507 of the family's 1533-position model. The record is from RNAcentral.
AGUGAACGCUGGCGGUAGGCCUAACACAUGCAAGUCGAACGGCAGCACAGUAAGAGCUUGCUCUUACGGGUGGCGAGUGGCGGACGGGUGAGGAAUACAUCGGAAUCUACUUUUUCGUGGGGGAUAACGUAGGGAAACUUACGCUAAUGCCGCAUACGACCUACGGGUGAAAGCAGGGGAUCUUCGGACCUUGCGCGAUUGAAUGAGCCGAUGUCGGAUUAGCUAGUUGGCGGGGUAAAGGCCCACCAAGGCGACGAUCCGUAGCUGGUCUGAGAGGAUGAUCAGCCACACUGGAACUGAGACACGGUCCAGACUCCUACGGGAGGCAGCAGUGGGGAAUAUUGGACAAUGGGCGCAAGCCUGAUCCAGCCAUACCGCGUGGGUGAAGAAGGCCUUCGGGUUGUAAAGCCCUUUUGCUGGGAAAGAAAAGCAGCAGGUUAAUACCCCGCUGUUCUGACGGUACCCAAAGAAUAAGCACCGGCUAACUUCGUG